Molecule: non-coding RNA, 278 nt
Organism: Pelobates cultripes (western spadefoot toad)
Lineage: Eukaryota; Metazoa; Chordata; Amphibia; Anura; Pelobatidae
Source: the annotation of a GenBank genome assembly
GUUACAUAGUUACAUAGCUGAAAAGAGACUUGUGUCCAUCAAGUUCAGCCUUCCUCACAUAUGUUUUUGCUGUUGAUCCAAAAGAAGGCAAAAAACCCAGUUUGAAGCACUUCCAAUUUUGCAACAAACUAGGAAAAAAAUCCUUCUUGACCCCAAAAUAGCAGUCAGAUGUCUCCUUGGAUCAAGCAGCUAUUACGCCACUAAUUAGAAAUUAUAUCCCUGUAUGUUAAGUUUUUGCAAGUAUUUAUCCAAUUGCAGUUUAAACAUCUCUUUAGACU